Molecule: long non-coding RNA, 23918 nt
Filed under: Populus trichocarpa (black cottonwood)
Lineage: Eukaryota; Viridiplantae; Streptophyta; Magnoliopsida; Malpighiales; Salicaceae
Description: long non-coding RNA (PTRI_LNC003782)
Source: RNAcentral
UAGCUAAACUGCUGGAAUUCGAACUCGAUCCAAGCAAGAUUUCCCAUCCAGCUUGUUGCUUUGCUGAAUUUCCAGGUAGUCUUUGUAUUUCAUGCCAGCGUAUGCUGCUGGUUCAUUGCCUUUACUGCUCACUAAUAACUCUGGUGCUGGGCUAACGACCGAGUCUAGUGAUGGUCCAUGUGCCAUAGCUAUGGAUAUCCUUGUAGCCUUGUUGUUCACCAUUGCUCGGUGCAGAACACUCUUGUACCUUCCAUUGCUCAAAAUCUAGUAAUAAAAAAACACGAACUUCACAUUUUUAACAGCAUUAUUAAGCCUUAGGAAUCUUGGAUCGACUCCAAGCCUAAUUGUAAUGGAUAACAUGACCAGGAAGUCAGAAUGCACCUCAAGGUGAUCUCCAGUGUUAACCAGGAAGGAGUUGGGGAGGGCACAGACAUUGACCCACUUCCCUUCGUGUUGAAUUUGAAGGCCACCAAUUCCAUUGUAGAUUAGAAGUGUCAACAAGCCAUGAUCUGAAUGAGGGGGCAAGCCCAUUGCAAGCUCUGGCUGUGGACAAGUUGGAUACAAGUUUCCAACAAAUAUUUGUUUCCCCUGUUCCAAAUUCUGUGCCUUGUCUAUGUAGCUUCCUUCCAAUCCCAAACUUUCUGAUAUUCCUUUCAGUAACCCCCUUGCUACUUCUCUAACUCUUUGGGAGUACUCUAAUGAAAUCUCACUACAUAAAAAAAGAUCCAACCAAAAACUAGAAAUUCUAUAAGCUUAAGAUUCCUCUACUUUAAUCAUGAUUUUUCUCACAAGAUUCUGUCUUAUCUCAAAAGAAAACGAAUAUCUUUUCACCUUUGAAUUCACUUGAAAGGAACACGCAUUAGAACUAAAAGCUGCUAAUGAAGUGGGUGAUGAUCGUUUUAUUUACCUGAGGCCAGCAGGCUUGGUAGGUGAGUAGAACACAGGAUGUACAAAGACCUUGAGAAAAUCCCUCCAAUAGAAAGCCUUUUCCACUGAAACAUUACAGCUGGUGCCAGACCUUAUUGGGUCCAAUACAUGGUUCCCUUUAAACUCUUGCUUCUCCUCUUCUGGCAGAUCAAAAAAACCUUUACACCCAUCCAGUAUCGAGCUGAGAAGGUUCUCUGGCACCCCAUGAUUGAUCACCUAAUAAUUAAGAAAUAAGAAGGAUGGAAGUUUCUUUUACGUUAUAAAUCAAAGAAAAAAACCUAGUUCUCUUGCUCUGUUUUUCGCAUUUGCAUUCCCCAGUUAUAUACCUAAUAACUUUUACUUAUAUUUAAUAGUUUGUUUGAAGUUUUUUACAAAUGAAUAUGUGUAACAAAAUACAGAGCAUGACAUGCACUUGUCAACUAGUUCAGUCCUCAAAGUUGCUGAGAGAGUCAUUCGACAUCACGUCUAGCCAUCGAAGAUCAAAUUUCUAUAACAUGAAGAGCUUUACUUGCUACAUGAAAAGAGAUGAGAUAUACCAUGAAGAAGCCCCAGUCCUGACAGGCUCUGCCAAGUUCAUGAACUAUUUUAGACCGUUGAUCGGGAGUGCCUGAAAUAAGAAGAGAGUAAUCUAUGACAGGAAUGGAGCCUUCUGGGACACAAAUUACUUGGUCAUGGAGAUCAGGAGUGAAGGUGUAAGUGGCAGGGAUGGAGGUGAGACCAGGAGAUUCAGCUAACGUUUUGAUGCUUGUUAUCUUGGUAGGUUGACUAGGAAAUGCUUGGGAGGGAAGAAGGGAAGCUGUUUCAGCAGCCAUUGAGAGAGGGAGAGGAAGUGAGAGAGAGCUGAAUGAUUUGGAUGUGGAUAUGCACACUCAUCUAAUUAAGGCACUCUGAUAAGUAUCAUUUUUGUAUAUGGACAAGGACUUGCUUGUCUGCCGGCUUCACGUCAACAGGCAAUUUUGUAGCUUUGUUUCUCUGUUCUUUCAUCAAGUGUGGACAAGGACUAGGUUGUUUGGUGCCUUCCAAUCAGCUGGUAAUUUGUAAAUUUGUUUAAGAGAUGGUGGACUCCCACAGUUGUGGACUAAAGUAACGUUUAUGAUUAGUAAUAUCUUCUGUUUUUUUAUGUUAAAUUAUGCUUAUUAAAUUUUUUUAUUUUUUUAGAUGGUUUUAAAUUAAUAUUUUUUAAUUAUUUUGAUGUGUUAAUAUUAAAAAUAAAAAAAUUAUUUUAAUAUAUUUUCAAGAAAAAAAAACUUUAAAAGCAACAACUAACACAUUCAUAAAUAAACUUUUUAGGUGUUUUUUAAAAAUAUAUUUAUUUUUUAAAAAAAUAUUAAAUUUAGUUUUUUAUUAUUUUUCGAUAAUUUUAAUAUAUGAUAUUAAAAAUAAAAAAAUUUAAAAAAAUUAUUUAGAUUUCCAUACAAAAAUUACUAAAUUUGGUCCCAACUUUUUUUACAGGUUGCAUAUAUUGCAAUAUCCAUCAUCAACGUGUCUUUGAAUUCCCAGGCUCCAGCAAUAGAAACUUAUAUCCACAGAAGCUAUUCAACUGCAUACCGUUUUCAAUCCAAAAAUACAGGAAAAAUCACAAUACUUCGAGAGCUGAUAUGCGCGGCUUUGACACUCCUAGAGGACAUGUAAUAGGUGUUAUACCAACCUGACAUUUCCCAGCAUCUGUACUAAGAGUCACCAAUUCAAUUGGCAGUUCAAAGGAUUCAAGAAACAUAUUAUAGCAACAUCCUGAAAACUGCUUGAUGCAAUUCCUUAUGACCUGAUAGAUACAUUCUAACAAAGUGCUAGUGUUGGACUUGAAUCAAUAACAGGUAUCAUCAUGAAGUUAAUGCCAACUAAACUACAAUGCAGACACCAUAAACAUCUCAAUGUAAGUUUCAUGCAUCAACAGUGCAAGAACUCAAUACCAAAACACAACAGAUAUUUCAGUAAUCCCAUCAAGAUUUUUUCUACAAUUUCUACACUUUAAAGCACACAAUCAUUUUCUGUGGGAAAAAUUCAUAUAACCAAGAUGAUACUCCAGCCAUUCCUUACCAACACUAAAUAUCUUUGCUUGUUCAUAGAAGAAUUAGCCAGAAAAUGAAUAGCCCACAUGAGAGAAACAUCAAACCUGAAAGCAUAAAAUCCUAAUCAAACCUAAGCAUGUUGUAGAAAUCUGCAAAGACUCGAACUUUACACAAACAUGUUGAAAUUCAACAAGCAAAAUCUGUCUUAAAUAGAAACCCAGAAGAGUUAAAGUGAUUCUCGUUCUUACUUGUGUAUAACGUUGUGAUUUUGGAGAAACUGAGGUGAGGAAGAGAGUUUUGCGUGGCGAAAGGCUAGUGCUUAUUAGUUUUUCAGAAGGAGCUGUGAUUUUUUACAGCAGAAGAAAGGCGGGGAUUUUAGCAGGUGGUAGUGUUGGGAAUUGAGAGUAAUUAUCAAGGAUAAAAUAGGAAACCAGGUAGCGAAGUCGUAAGCGACAUGCCGUUUAUAUCAACUGAAGUGAACUACAUGUAGUUCCCUGUUUGUUUAAAUUGCUUUUCUGCAAACUACAUGUCAUUCAUUCAAAAUUUGCUUACAGCCUAUCCCAGUCUAAGUUAUUUCCUCUCCUGCCAGGAUAGUAUUCAUUUUUUUUAAUCUAUAUUUUUUACAAUUUUAAUUUCAUCAUAUUUUUAGGGUUUAUAUUUAUUUUAAAUUGAAAUUAUAAUUUUUUAUAAUUUAUUUUUUAUGAGAUUAUCUCAGAUUAUGACCAAAAGUGCAAGUUUGAUGGAUUAACUCGGAAAAAAAUUUAAUUGAUUUUUUUUUCUCAAUUUUAUAUUUUAACAUUGAGUUAAUUUGAAAUUAGAUUUCAUGAUUUUUUUCGGUCUGGUUUCUAUGAGGUUAUCUCAUCUCAUGACUCGGGUCACGAGUUUAGCGAGUUAAUCUUGAUUACCUCGAGUUAUUUUUUUAUCUUUUUUUUAAUCAAUUUUUUUUCAAUCUUAUCUUUCAAUAUUUGAUUGAUUAAUAAUUAAACUUCACAAUUUGUAUUAAUUUAUUUUCUAUUAGGUUAUCUUAAUUUGUACCCGGGUUACGAGCUUGAUAGGUUAAAUCGGGUUGACUUGGGUCAUUUCCUUGAAUCCUUUUUUAAUUGAUUUAUUUUUCAGUUUUAUCAUUCAAUAUUGAAUUUAUUAGAAAUUGAGUUUCGUAAUUUGUUUUGGUUUGCUUACUGUAGGGUUAUCAUGAUCUCAUAACUUGGUAUGUGGAUUGACAAGUGAACUCAUAUUGACCCGAAUAGAUAUAAUAUAUUGUCAUCUUAAUAUUUAUUAAAACAAUCUCAUCUUAAAUAUUUAUUUUGAGUUAAAAUAUAUUUUUACCGAUUAUUUGGAUUGUUUUUAAACCUGUUAAGAUGAAUAAGUCACAUUAUAUCAAUUUCUAUAUAAUUUAAUUUUUUUAUAUUAAAAAAAUAUUAGUAACAUUUAAAUAUUUUAUUUUACAUUAAAAACAAUUCAUCCGACUAGCAACGGGACGCAAACCAAAAUGAUGUACUUGUAUCUCGGAAAAAUCUGAUGGUAUUAAUUCGAGAAAUUAUUAUAUAAGCAUACGUAUUCAUCCCUACCAAAAAAUUCUAAUAAUAUUAACACCGGAGAAAUUAUUACACGAAUGCAGUUCAGGAGAACAAAACAUUGAUACAUAAUUUCGUGCUGGAUUCUGCAGGGAGAAAACCGACAUGACAACAUCACCGUUGUUUGCCUUAUUGCUGGCCUUAUGAGAUAAGAAGAGAAAGGAAAAGUAAAAUCAAACUAGAAAUGGUCUUAAUCUCAAUAAACAACUAUUGAAUCAUCGUUCCUCAAGCAAACAUCCUUAAUUCAGAAGCAUGAUUAUUUGUUUUUAGGUUCUGUUGGGUCUCAAUUAUCAGCAGAGAUAAAGAAUGUUCAGAAGCGUCAUGGUUUCUGAAUGUGCAAAACUUCUAGUAUAAUGCUUCUUCUUCUUCUUCUUCUUCUUCUUCUGUUGGAGCUCACCAUAGAAGUAAGAAAAGAAGCCCCAGAGAGACAGAACAAGAGAAAUUGCCUUUUCAGCAUGGAACUUCUCAUGGUAGAACAGCACAGCUAGAGACUGUCACUGGCAGCAGGGUGGCAAUUAUAAUACCAGAAAGCAAUGAGGAGCCGCAGAAAGUCACACCAAUGGCUCCCAUGAAGAAGCAUUGCCACAAGAUUGCACUAAAAAUAAUCGCCACGUGAUAUUUUUCUUGCCCAAGUUCACAUGCACUUGCCUCCUUUGGAAUUUCCUGCAUUAAAAAGUAAAAGACACUCUCCGAAGGAUUGGAUUGCCUGCAUUAAUAAGCAACUAAUUAUUAUGUGUGCGUGUAAGAGCAUGUAUGCCGUAGAGACUGGCCUGAAAGUCCUAGUGUACAAACAUCCCAGCAGCACAGAAUGCAGUCGCGAAGAAAGACUUAACCAUCUGAAUCUCCACAACCAAAGUAUAGGUGAUGGUUUGCUUAGCUUUUUUGUAUGUCAGCUCAACUACUGGUAGCACAAACCCAUAAAGUGCUGCAGUUCCAAGAGUCAUGAAAACUCCCAAGAAGUACUGCUUGUUGGUUUCAUGAGCAGGGCGAUCGGAACUUGUGUGAAGAACUAGUAUGACAGCUCCAAUGGUCAACAAGAAAAUUGCAUUGAUGGUAAAAGAUGGGAACUUUUGCUCGACCAAAACAAAAGCAAAAAUCAGCAGUAUAAGCUAACUGGGUGGCAAUUAUAAAAGCAGAAGUGGAAACAGGAAGGAGAGAAACACCAUAGGCGGAAAAGAAAUCAUCCAAGGCCAGUUAGAACACCGAGAACAGCAGAAGCUAGGAAGAGCCUAGGGCUUACAUAGAAGAGCUUGGUCGUAGCACCCUCCUUGCUUCGGCGAAAUAACAUGUAUCAAUGAGAGGAAAUAGGACAAAUGGCCAACCAACAGUUUGCAGAAAGCUUGAUAUCCAAACACUCUUGUCUCUUGCCACCCUUUAAGAAACUAUAGCCGCUGGAUAAGAGGGCCGCCGCAGUUUCCGAGGGCCAGCAAUGCACCAUUCAAUAUGAGUAGGGAUUUCUUCAGGACUUCAUUCAUUUUCUCUGCUCCUGCUAAUGUUGGGUUACUACUACUGCUAUUCUCCAUCUCUGUGUGCCCACUCUUUAGGCCUUAACAAUCACUGCAAAUCAUAAAAUGGGACUCCGAGAAAAUGAUAUUGGAAAAAUAUUCUAAACAGGAUUAUGAGGUUUGAAAUCUAACUUAGCUGCAAUUGACAGGUUAAAAUUCUUUGAAGAGACAAUGGACCUUUAUUUUGCAGCUCCCUAACACUCUUAUCGAUUGCAGUAACCUAAAUGGAGAAUGAACACCUACAAGGCCGCCAUCACUCAAUAUUAAACUUUUAUUUUAAUACAUGACUUACUAUAGAGUUACCUCUGUUGAACUUAAAAAUGGGCAAAUCAGGAUUUCCUAGGCUGCCUGACAGUCACUACCUCAACAUCAAAUGACACCUGAAGAGCAAAGAACAGCCCAAAAACCCCAUUUGGAGAAAUGGAAAAACAAGGAUGAAAAGAAAAAUAUAGGUCUUCAUCAAGUAUUAAUCUUUGAAGUUAAUUUUGUUUGGUAGGAUGACUCUUCAUAAUACUGUAAAUUGGACAAGAUCCAGUGUGACAAGUCUCUGCUUUUACAUCAAACAAUUAUAUUAUUACAGAAAACUCUAAAUGAGAUGCGAAAACUACACCCGCUAUAUACCAGAACAGAACCAGCUGCAUGGUCUAAAACCAAAACAAGAGGAGAACGUGUCGUCUUAGAUGUGGUUGAGCUACAAAUCUCUUGCUAUCACGUCAAAAAUAUGUGCCCGAUGGGCAAUGGCAUUACUGGAAGUCAAUGAAACAAAAAAAUGUUAUACAGUGGCUAUCUACUGUUCCGGCCGGCCGGGUCUGAUUCAAAACUAAACAUAUUAAACCGGAUCUGAUCCAGUUAAAAAAAAAAUUAAUUUUUAUUUUAUUUUUAAUUGUGUUUUAUUCGAAAAAUUAUAGUCCUUGUCGGAUGGAUUUCGUACGUGAUGAAAUUGUAGAUAGUUUAAUGAAACAAUAAAAAAUACUUGAUAUAAAUAUUAUUUAUUUCAUGAUGUAAUAGCAAUAGUUAAAUCUAUAAUAUUUAAAUUAAAAAUCAUCAAUAUUAAUAUAUAUAUAUAUAUAUAUAUAUAUAUAUAUAUAUUUUUUAAUUACUUUAUAUCCUCAAUUUCAAAAGCAUUCUUUUAACCAAUUAAACUACUUUUUAUUCAACCUCAAUUUCAACCACAGUUUUAAUCAAAUAUAUAUAAAUAUCAAACCAACCUCAAUCAAAAGUACUUUUUGUAAAAUAACUUUUUUCAAAUCACAACCACAAAAAUUAUCACAAUACCAAACACACUCGUCUCUACUUGGACUGUGGAUUUUCUCGUUUAUGAAGACUUGGAUUAGGAGUAUUUUUAUCUUUUACAUUAUCAUUUUACCAAAAAAUUAAAAGCCUUUGAUGUAGAGAUAUUUUAGUCUUUUUAUAUGCUUAUUGGUAAUUAAAAGAUUGAACGGAUGUAUAUUAAUCUUUUUUAAUUUUAAUUGUACAGUAAAAAAAAACUAUUGUACCUUAAGAUAAAAAAAAAAAUAAACUUGUUAACCAAGGGAUUUUUUUGAUAUUUUACAAACUUUUGAAUAGUAAAGAUACUUGUUUACCUUAAAGGUUAGAAAAUAAUUGAGUUGCUGGCCAAGAGCAUUUUGGGGUUUUCACUUCUUAAGCUAUAGAAAAAAUAAGUAUUUACCCUUAUAAAAGACAAAAGGUCAUUUAUGCAUUGAGGGGUGUUUUUGUAUUUUUAUAUUGAUUUAUUUGUUAUUUUCAGUUUAACGAGAAACAUUUUAGUUAUUUUCCAUUGACCUUUUUUUUUUUUUGAAAAGGUGCUGGCGCAUAUGGUUAUGCAUUAGCGCGUUGGUGGUGUUCGUGUUCUUUAGGCGACGCAUGCGACGCCACCUGUUGUUCAAACUUGGUCUUCCAUCGUGUCCCUAGAAGUGCCACCACAUCCUCGUUCUCCUGGUGGAGUGUGUGACAGUGGUUGAUGAGCGGUUUAUCAUCGGUCGGCGUUUUUUUUUUCUUCUUCCUUUUGUUCUCUCUCUCUCAGAGUAAGUACAUGUUUGUCCUUUUUUUUUUCAAUUCCAAUCCUUAUGUUUUGGUUGGCUUAAUUUUAUUCUUGAUCCUUUUACAAAUUUUUUUUUUAUGAUUUCAAUUCAGUUUUUAAAUUAUAAUUUUUCAUAUUUUUUUUUUUAAUUUGAUCCUUAUUUUUUUGAUUUCUCAUUUUGAUCAUUGACUCUUUUGUUAGAGUUUUGUUGGUUUUCAAUUUUGUCUUUCAAUCAACAUUUAUGUUUUUUUUUUAAUUUUUCCCUCAUUCUUUUGAUUUCUUUUUCCUUUUAUUGAAGUUUUUUUUUCUUCAAUUUAAUUUUUUUAGAUGCCCUUGUUUUUUUAAUUUCAAUUUUCACCCUCAUUCUUUUAAUUAUAUUUUUUAUGUGGUCGAUUUUUUCCCCGUUCACACCCUUCAGUGUUUGUUUUUUCAGGAUUAUAUUUCAUCAUUUUUCUAUUUUUCAUCCUUGAUCCUUUUACAAAAAAAAUUUAUGAUUUCAAUUCAGUCUUUAAAUUAUAAUUUGUCAUAUAUUUUUUUUUAAUUUGAUCUUUAUUCUUUUGAUUUCUCAUUUUGAUCAUUGACUCUUUUGUUAGAGUUUUGUUGGUUUUCAAUUUUAUCUUUCAAUUAACAUUUUUAUUUUUUUUAUUUUUCCCUCAUUCUUUUGAUUUCUUUUCCUUUUGUUGAAGUUUUUUUUUUCUUCAAUUUAAUUUUUUUAGAUGCCCUUGUUUUUUUAAUUUUAAUUUUCACCCUCAUUCUUUCAAUUAUAUUUUUUAUGUCGUCGAUUUUUUCCCUGAUCACACCCUUUGGUGUUUGAUUUUUCGGGAUUAUAUUUCAUCAUUUUUCUAUUUUUCAUCCUUGGUCCUUUUACAAAAAACAUUUAUGAUUUCAAUUCAGUCUUUAAAUUAUAAUUUGUCAUAUAUUUUUUUUUUCAAUUUGAUCCUUAUUUUUUUGAUUUCUCAUUUUGAUCAUUGACUUUUUUGUUAGAGUUUUGUUGGUUUUCAAUUUUGUCUUUUAAUCAACAUUUAUGUUUUUUUUUUUAUAAUUUUUCCCUCAUUCUUUUGAUUUUUUUUCCUUUUGUUGAAGUUUUGUUUUCUUCAAUUUAAUUUUUUUAGAUGCCCUUGUUUUUUUAAUUUUAAUUUUCACCCUCAUUUUUUUAAUUAUAUUUUUUAUGUAGUCGAUGUUUUCCCCGAUCACACCCUUCGGUGUUUGAUUUUUUGGGAUUAUAUUUCAUCAUUUUUCUAUUUUUCAUGCUUUUGAUUUAAUCAUACGAGUCACAUGUUUUAAGUGUUAAUAUGAUUAGUUUUCCCUCAUUUUCUUUUAUGAUUUUAUCAUUCUACAUUAUUUGUUUUUGAAAAAAUAGAUUUGUAGUUAGCUUCAAUUUCUAUUCAAUUGAUUUGUCUCGAUCUCAUUACUUAUACCACAGGUUUCACACGUCUUUUUUGGAUGAAGAUUUUUUUAUUUUAUUGUAUGCAGAUAAGUUUUGUUUUGUAAAAAAAAUAGUUAUUUUGAAAUAAUAUUUUGAAUAUGUUCAUCCAUGCAUAUUUUGUUUUCCUUUUAUUUUAUUAACUCAGUUUCAUAUGUGUUUUUAUUUCUAUUAUCUUUGGUUGAUUUUAAUAAAUAAGUUUAGUGGACACAAACGAGUAAAUUAUUUUAAUCUACAUUCAUCUAUCAAUUUUUUCGCUUUCUCUUUUAGUUAUUAUUAACGAAUUUUUUUAUUUAUAUGCAUAGAUUAUUAUUAGAUGUUUGGAUAAACUUUUUGAUUUAUACUUAGAAUUCUUUUUAUGUAAAAAUACAUAUCAAAAUAGUCUUUGUAGUCGAGUUUUUUUCUUAAAAAUAAAUUACAACCCGUUAUAGAGCGCAGGUCAGAUCAAAUUUUUAUUUCUCUCUAAUUGCUUUUUUUCGCUCUCAUAUUUUUAGAUGCUUUUUUUUUUCAUGAAUUCAUUUUCUAAACAUUUGAUUUAUUAGAGAUUCAGUGUCAUAUGAUCUUAUCGUUCUGCAAUUGUUUUUAUUUUUUUAAAAAAUAUUGGUUUGGUGGUUAUUUUCAAUUUCUUUUCUAUGAGUUUAUUUUGAUCUCAUGAUCUAAGUCACGAGUUUUGCAUGCUAUUUUUUAAUAUAAGGGUUUUUUUAGAAUUAUUUUGUUUGAGUUUGAUUUUUCAAGAUAUUAUCCUAAUUCAUUUAUAAUUCUUUUUUUAUUUAUACAAAGGAAGUUUAUUUUUAAAAAUAAAAAAUAUUCAUUUUUAAAUAAUAUUAUUGAUUUAUUUGGCCUUGCAUAUUUUUUAUAAGACGUGAGUUUAUUCAAUCAUUUUUAUUUGUGUUUAUCUUUUAAGUCAUAAAUUUUUUAGGAUAUGAAUAUAUCUUUUAUUGAUUAAGUAAACAAACUUAGUCAACAUAAUCGAGUGAAUGUCUUAUUUUGUGUGAUUAAAUAUCUUAAUCUGCAUUUAUCUCUUAAUUUUCUCAAUCUCUCUUUUGGUUAUUGUCAAUGAUUUUUUUUCUCAUUUAUUUACAUAAAUAAUUAUUGAUUUAUUUAAUUAGAUGGCUUUUCAAUUUACACUUUAAUUGUUUUAUGUUAAAAAACACAAAAAAACAACCUACAUAUCCAAUAUUUUUUUGGAAAAAAACCCACGACAUAACACGAGUUAAAUGACUAGUUUGAGUGCUAUGCAGAGUGGAAACGAAUUAGAACUUUGUCUUUUGGUACAAAUAUUUUAAUUGGAUAGGUUGUGUUUGAUUACUAAACAGCAGAGACAAACACUAAGAGUAUGAGACAUAGAACAAAAAUUUACUUCAAAACUGUUUUAACAGAUUUAUUUUAUGUCUUUCUUCAUCUCUCUAACUAAAUAUAUUUUUAUCUUUUAGAUAGUAUUUAAUUACUAUCACAUGAUAAAAGAAACAAAAAUAUUUUUAGUUAAAAAGAUAGAGAUAUAAAAAUAAAUUUGUUCCUUGAUAAGUUUAGAAUGAGUUUCUAUACUUCCAAAACAGGAGGUGUAAAGAGGGCAUGUCUUCAAAUAUAAUAUUUUUUAUUCAUAAAAUAUCAUUGUAAAAAACUUUCAAUUCUAAAAUUAUCAAACUAAGAUAUGUAUGGAUAAAAAUAAUUAUUAUCAUAGUUUUAAAACUUAACUUGAGGGUCAAUACGAAACAAAGUCUAGGUCAUAAUUCGGGAGAGUCAACUUGGAUUGACUUAGGUAAAAGUAAGAAUAAAAAUUAUUAUUAUUAUAAUUUUAAAACCCGACCCAGGGUUGAUCUAGGAUAAAGCUUAGGUCAUAGAUUUGAAGAGUCAACUCAAAUUGACCGGGUUCAUAUAAGAAUAAAAAAAAUUAUUAUCAUAGUUUUAAAACACGACUCGAGAGUUUACUCGAGACGAAGUUUGGAUCACGGGUCGAGAGGGUCAACUGGGUUGAUUUGUGUCAACGUAUAGAUAAUAGUGAUUAUUAUUAUAAUUUUAAAACUCGAUCUGAGAGUUGAACAAGACAAUGCCCGGGCCAGGAGGACAACCUAAAUUGACCCAAAAUCUUUUUUUUUAAAUAAUAAUAAUCAAAGUACUUUGUUUUGACAAAAACAAUUUUAAAAAGUCAACAUAUUUUUUAUCUAUAUUUUAUUUUAGAUCGAACCAGAUUUUUACCCCAUCAAGUCAGAUCAAUUUUCCCUUUAUGUUUUUAAAUUCAGAUUAGUUCAGGUCCAUAUCUUGGGUCAGCUGGGUAUCACAUCAACCUGACGGGAGAGCUCCCUAGAGGUAAGAAAUGAUGCCUCAGGGAGAUAAAACAAGAGAAAGUCCUUUUUUUGACAUGAAAUUUCUCACGGUGGAAAACAACAGCUAAAGCCCCUGUCAUUUGCAGCAGGGCAGCCAGUGUAAUAGCAUGCAUGGAACAACGCAAACGAAUUGCGUGAAGAAACAUAGCUAUAAAAGAGGGCACUGCAAACAAGAAGCACAUAAUAUUUUGCUUUCCUGAGCUCCACUGUCUACAUAACAAGCAAGAGUGAGAUGGUCUUAAGACCUUAAGACCGACCCACUUCUUAUAUUUUACAAGAAGUCUUUAUUUUGAUUACAAUCACAUUCUUCAUCCAUUCAUUUUCGCAUUCAUGAAAUCAUAGAAGUAUCAUUAUUACCUUCAUGGUUUGGUACACACACAGAAGCAGUAGCUAAACUGCUGGAUCGAACUCGGUCCAAGCAAGAUUUCCCAUCCAGCUUGUUGCUUUGCUGAAGUUCCAGGUAGUCUUUGUAUUUCAUGCCAACGUAUGCUGCUGGUUCAUUGCCUUUACUGCUCACUAAUAACUCUGUUGCUGGGCUAACGACUGAGUCUAGUGAUGGUCCAUGUAUCAUAGCUAUGGAUAUCCUUGUAGCCUUGCUGUUCACCAUUGCUCGGUGCAGAACACUCUUGUACCUUCCAUUGCUCAAAAUCUAGUAACAAAAAAACACGAACUUCACAUUUUUAACAGGAUUAUUAAGCCUUAGGAAUCUUGGAUCGACUCCAAGCCUAACUGUAAAAAAGGAUAACAUGACCAGGAAGUCAGAAUGCACCUCAAGGUGAUCUCCAGUGUUAACCAGGAAGGAGUUGGGGAGGGCACAGACAUUGACCCACUUCCCUUCGUGUUGAAUUUGAAGGCCACCAAUUCCAUUGUAGAUUAGAAGUGUCAACAAGCCAUGAUCUGAAUGAGGGGGCAAGCCCAUUGCAAGCUCUGGCUGUGGACAAGUUGGAUACAAGUUUGCAACAAAUAUUUGUUUCCCCUGUUCCAAAUUCAGUGCCUUGUCUAUAUAGCUUCCUUCCAAUCCCAAACUUUCGGAUAUUCCUUUCAGUAACCCCCUUGCUACUUCUCUAACUCUUUGGGAGUACUCUAAUGAAAUCUCACUACAUAAAAAAAGAUCCAACCAAAAACUUGAAAUUCUAUAAGCUUAAGAUUCCUCUACUUUAAUCAUGAUUUUUCUCACAAGAUUCUGUCUUAUCUCAAAAGAAAAAGAAUAUCUUUUCACCUUUGAAUUCACUUGAACGGAACACGCAUUAGAACUAAAAGCUACUAAUGAAGGGGGUAAUGAUCGUUUUAUUUACCUGAGGCCAGCAGGUUUGGUAGGUGAGUAGAACACAGGAUGUACAAAGAACUUAAGAAAAUCCCUCCAAUAGAAAGCCUUUUCCACUGAAACAUUACAGCUGGUGCCAGACCUUAUUGGGUCCAAUACAUGGUUCCCUUUAAACUCUUGCUUCUCCUCUUCUGGCAGAUCAAAAAAACCUUUACACCCAUCCAGUAUCGAGCUGAGAAGGUUCUCUGGCACCCCAUGAUUGAUCACCUAAUAAUUAAGAAAUAUGAAGGAUGGAAGUUUCUUUUACGUUAUAAAUCAAAGAAAAAUACCUAGUUCUCUUGCUCUGUUUUUCGCAUUUGCAUUCCCCAGUUAUAUAUCUAAUAACUUUUACUUAUAUUUAAUAGUUUGUUUAAAGUUUUUUACAAAUGAAUAUGUGUAACAAAAUACAGAGCAUGGCAUGCACUUGUCAACUAGUUCAGUCCUCAAAGUUGCUGAGAGAGUCAUUCGACAUCACGUCAAGCCAUCAAAGAUCAAAUUUCUAUAACAUGAAGAGCUUUACUUGCUACAUGAAAAGAGAUGAGAUAUACCAUGAAGAAGCCCCAGUCCUGACAGGCUCUGCCAAGUUCAUGAACUGUUUUAGACCGUUGAUCGGGAGUGCCUGAAAUAAGAAGAGAGUAAUCUAUGACAGGAAUGGAUCCUUCUGGGACACAAAUUACCUGGUCAUGGAGAUCAGGAGUGAAGGUGUGAGUGGCGGGGAUGGAGGUGAGACCAGGAGAUUCAGCUAACGUUUUGAUGCUUGAUAUCUUGGUAGGUUGACUAGGAAAUGCUUGGGAGGGAAGAAGGGAAGCUGUUUCAGCUGCCAUUGAGAGAGGGAUAAGAAGUGAGAGAGAGCUGAAUGAUUUGGAUGUGGGUAUGCACGCUCAUCUAAUUAAGGCAAUAUGAUAAGUAUCAUUUUUGUAUAUGGACAAAGGACUUGCUUGUCCGGUGGCUUCAUGUCAACUGGCAAUUUUCAAGCUUUGUUUCUCUGUCCUUUCAUCAAGUGUGGACAAGGACAAGGACAAGGUUGUCCCACAGUUGGUAAUUUGCAAAUUUGUUUAAGAGAUGGUGGAGGCCCACAGUUGUGGACUAAAGGAACUUUUAUAAUUAGUAAUAUCUUCUGUUUUUUUAAUUAUGUUUUUUAAAAUUUUUUAUUUUUUUAAAAGAAUUUAAAUUAAUAUUUUUUAGUAUUUUUUUAUUAUUUUGAUAUGUUAAUAUCAAAAAUAAAAAAAAAUUAUUUUAAUAUAUUUUUUUAAAAAAAAAAACUUUGAAAAGCAACGUCUAACAUAUUUACAAAUAGACUCUUUAGGUGUUUUUUAAAAGUAUAUUUGUUUUUUAAAAAAUAUUAAAUUGAUUUGUUUAAUAUUUUUUUGAUAAUUUUAAUGUACUGAUAUUAAAAAUAAAAAAAUAAAAAAAAUUUAUUUAGAUGCAUUUUCAAAUAAAAAAUAUUUUAAAAAAAUACUUUACACCAUAAUACUAAACAUUUAAAGCAUUGUAAAGAUAUAAAAAAACCUUUUAUUUAUUUAUUUAUUUAUUAUUAUUAUUAUUAAGAUGCUCAAUACAUUGAACCCAAAUACGAAGAGAAGUGGAAAUUUCUUUGUUCUGUCAUGAAGUGAGAUAUUUAAUAGGUAAAAUUAGGUUAAAUCUUUUAAAGUUUGUUAUAUUUAUAAUAUAGGUUUUUUUUUGUUUUUAACUUUAUUUUAAUUUAAUAAUAUGAUAACAAAAAUAAAUGCUUAUAAAAUUAAACACCAACUACAUAUCUGGAUGUUUGUUUGAGACUAUAAUAAUCUUUUAAAAAACAAACCAAAAUAAUUUAUAUAGACAAAAUCAAAAUCACCAUAAUAUUAAAAAAUAAAAUUAAAAGAAAAAUAAAUUCACUUGAAGGGAAAUAUAUAUAUAUAUAUAUAUAUAUAUAUAUAUAUAUAUAUAUAUAUAUAUAUAUAUAUAUAUAUAUAUAAAGGCAGCUCCUUCACUAUUUAUAUGGACAGUGAAGGAGUUGGGUUCACCUCAUAGUUCUAGUAGAGUAGAUAACAAAAAUAAAUUAUCAUAAAUUGAAUAUCAAUUAAAUAACAAAAUGUUUAUUUGAGAUUAAAAUAAACCCAUAACAAACAAACCAAAAAAUUACAAAGAUCAAUUUAAAAUUAAUAUAAUAUUGACGGAUAAAAUUGAAAACAAAAAUGCUAAAACAAAUUCAAUUAAAAGAAAAAAAAUAUAAUAGAAUUUUUUUUUAAAAAAAAUUAAAAAAAUAGAGGUAGCUCUUUCAAUGUCCAUAUGAACAAUGAAGGAGUUGGAUUCACCCAAAUUAUUUUAAUAGAGUUGGUAAUAUGUCCUUGUCAAAUAUGUGUCUUAGUAACUAUAAUUUUAACUUCUAAAAUAAUUAUUUUUUAUGUUCUUUUCAAAAUAAUAAUAAGAUGAAAAUGAACUAAAAACAAAUCAAAGCUAUGUUUUGAGAAAUUUGUUUUAUCUUAAAUUGGUUCAAGUCUAUACUUUAAAAUAUAUAUUUUCUUAUAUAAUAUAUUUUAAAGGAUCUAACUUGCCAUAUCUAUAAUUACCACAUUUUUUAGUUCUUCGUACAUACCUUUAAUUGUGAAGUUAUUUAAUCAUAAAACAAUAAUGCAAUACUAGUAAUAAUAUAUGAUUUAUAGUACAUUAUUUUUGGUACCAUUAAAAUUUAGGAUUAUUAUUCAUUAAGUAACUUAUACAUAAAAUUCUCAAUAUCUACCAAUUCCAGUUUGUAAUGAAAAAAAAAUUAUGACUUGUAUAUUAAGAAAAUGAAGUCAUAGUACUUAGGCUUAACUUUUCUUUCUUGUAUGUCCUUUUUUUUUCAUAAAAAAUUAAAAAAUAUACAUUUUAAUAAUUAUUUUUAUUUUUAGAAAAAAAUUUAUUAAAGUCGUGAAAGAAUUUUUUAUUUCAAUUUCAAUUGUUUUUCUUUUUGGAACUAAUUUCAGGGCGUUUUGGGUUGAGAAAUUAGUUUACUAAGGUUUUAAAGGUGUUUUUUAGAACUCAUCAUAAAUAAUUUUCUUUUUCUAUUUAUUUAUUUGGUGACUUUCAUGUGAGGGUUUAAAAACUAGUUUUAAAAUAUUAUUAAACCCAACCAGAUCCAUAACAAGUGAUAAAUUUGACAGGUUAACCUAGAUUUCUUUGGUCGAUACAAGAUGUCGUUAUCUCAAUAUUAAAAAAACAAUUGCACCUUGAGUUUUAAGUCAACCCGGUUUUGAUUGGAUUGUUUGAGUCGUCUUUAGACCCACCAAGUCUACCAAAUCACAUAGAGUUAACCCUCACAAAGUUUAAUUUAAAAUUUAGGAGAUGCAAAGAGCUGAGUUGAGAGAUUUUUAGAUUGACAUGCUAAACUGAGUUCAAUGACACCGCAAAAGAGUUCUCCAUGAUAAUGCACGAGUGUUGGAUGUUCGAAUUUUUUUAAUAAACUCACAUCAUAAUUAUCAUAUUGUUAUUUUUUUAAAAUUAAUGUUAAAAAGUUGUUAAGCAAGUUCUAAUAAUACAAAGACAAAGAUCUUGAGCUCACAAUUAAAAUGCUACAUGUUAAUAAAUGUUAAAUAGAGUUUUGAUAAAAAAAAAUCUCUAAUCUUGAAUUUAUAAUAAUAAAAAAUUUCUUGCUAAUAAAAAACAAGAGAAUAACAUCUAAAAAACUUCUCUUUUAUGUUCAAAUAUUUCUUGAUUUGACUCACGUUGAAGUGCAUGCCAAUCAAUAAUCUAGUAUUUAACUAUAAGUCAAAAAUCAAAAUUUAUUUUUCUAUUGUUAUGACAGUAUUUUAAAUAAAAAAUAUGUUUGAGAAAAAAAUGAAAGCCUUUUAUUUUAAAUAAUGAAUAUAAUAUGUGUUAUAAUUAAUAAAAUAAACUAUAAAUUAAAUCUUAGUUAAACCAAAAAUUUAUUAAUUUAAUAUUUUUAAAGCCAAAUACACUUUUAAAAUACAAAUAAAAUAUUUUAAAAGAAGGUACUCGACAAAAGAUUCUGGAAGUUCAUGGAUUAUUGUUUUAAUGGAUACUGACUUGAAUUUUGGGUACCAUUCCUGAAUCUGGCAACAAUUCACAUCUUCUUCCUUCAUUGUCCCUGGUUUAAUUGCUUCUCCUGCUAUCUGGUAUAGAACAAGAUAUGCACAUCAUUAGCAACUAUCAUAUAUUAUUUCAUCAUAUAUUCUGUUCUUUCAACUCAAUCUACUAAUAGAUGGGAUUGCUUGACUCUUUCAAGGUCAAUUUUGAAGAAAAUGAUGUGAUCAACCACCAGUUCAUGGUUGUGUUCCCACAGAAAUCAUGCAACAAUUCUCCUUUUGUUGUGUUUCCAUUCCAUAAACGAUAAAAUCAUGUUAAACUAAAAUUCUUUGCGUAUCCCUUGUCAAAGCCUUCACUAUGGCACCUAACAUAAACAAGCAGCUUUCAUGUAGCAAAAAAAUAGGAGCCAAGGAACUAAUCUCAUAUAAAACUCAGAAUCUACAGAAGAAUGAACGUUAAAAAACUAGACCUAACAGUUAGCAGCAUGUGCGCUCAUGACAAGGUGAAAAGAUUUCCAUACAAAAAUUACUAAAUUUGGUCCCAACUAUUUUUACAGGUUGCAUAUAUUGCAAUAUCCAUCAUCAACGUAUCUUGGAAUUCUCAGGCUCCAGCAAUAAGAACUUAUAUCCACAGAAGCUAUUCAACUGCAUACCGUUUUCAAUCCAAAAAUACAGGAAAAAUCACAAUACUUCGAGAGCUGAUAUACGCGGAUUUGACACUCCUAGAGGACAUGUAAUAGGUGUUAUACCAACCUGACAUUUCCCAGCAUAUGUGACUAAGAGUCACCAAUUCAAUUGGCAGUUCAAAGGAUUCAAGAAACAUAUUAUAGCAACAUCCUGAAAACUGCUUGAAGCAAUUCCUUAUGAGCUGAUAGAUAGAUUCUAACAAAGUGCUAGUAUUGGACUUGAAUCAAUAACAGGUAUCAUCAUGAAGUGAAUGCCAACUAAACUAUAAUGCAGACACCAUAAACAUCUCAAUGUAAGUUUCAUGCAUCAACAGUGCAAGAACUCAAUACCAAAACACAACAGAUAUUUCAGUAAUCCCAUCAAGAUUUUUUCUACAAUUUCUACACUUUAAAGCACACAAUCAUUUUCUGUGGGGAAAAUUCAUAUAACCAAGAUGAUACUCCAGCCAUGCCUUACCAACACUAAAUAUCUUUGCUCGUUCAAAGAAGAAUUAGACAGAAAAUGAAUAGCCCACAUGAGAGAAACAUCAAACCUGAAAGCAUAAAAUCCUAAUAAAACUUAAGCAUGUUGUAGAAAUCUGCAAAGACUCGAACUUUACACAAACAUGUUGAAAUUCAACAAGCAAAAUCUGUCUUAAAUAGAAAACCCAGAAGAGUUACAGUGAUUCUCGUUCUUACUUGUGUAUAAUGUUGUGAUUUUGGAGAAACUGAGGUGAGGAAGAGAGUUUUGCGUGGCGAAAGGCUAGUGCUUUAUUAGUUUUUCAGAAGGCGCUGUGAUUUUUUACAGCAGAAGAAAGCCGGGAAUUUUAGCAGGUGGUAGUGCUGGGAAUUGAGAGUAAUUACCAAGGAUAAAAUAGGAAACCAGGUAGCGAAGUCGUAACCGACAUGCCGUUUAUAUCAACUGAAGUGAACUACAUGUAGUUCCCUGUUUGUUUAAAUUGCUUUUCUGUAAACUACAUGUCAUUCAUUCAAAAUUUGCUUACAGCCUCUCCCACUCUAAGUUAUUUCCUCUCCUCGUAUAAUACUAUUUUUUUAAUCUAUAUUUUUCUUUACAAUUUCAAUUUCAUCAUAUUUUUUAGGGUAGAUUGAACUUUAUAAUUUUCUCAAUUUAUUUUUUAUGAGAAUAUUUAUACUUAUGACCACCACCAUAUGUUUGACUAAUUAACAUGAUUUUUUUUUCUUUUUCUAAUUGAAUUUUUUUUUUAAUUUCAUUUUUCAAUAUUGGCUCAAUUAAAAAUUAGACUUUAUGAUUUAUUUCGGUCUGAUUUCUAACCUAUCUCAUGACUUAAGUCACGAAUGAGUUAAUAUUUGAAGUUAAUUUCGUUUAAUAGGAUGACUCUUCUUAAUACUGUAACAUGGACAAGAUCCAGUGUAACAUGUCUUUUCUUUUACAUCAAACAAUUAUAUUAUUAUUGAAUACUCUAAAUAACAUGGGAAAACUAUUGUACGUGUUCAUUGUAGAUUAAGACACAAUCUACUGUGGACCGUGGAUUUUCUCAUUUUCAAAGGCUUGGGGUGGGGGUGUUUUUUUCUUUUCAUAGAAAGUAACAUUCUUAUUCUGCCCUAUGAUUGAAAAAAAUAGAAGUCUUUGAUUUAAGGAUAUUUGAUCUUUUUUAUAUGCUUAUUAGUAAUUAAAGGAUUGAACGGGAAUAUGUUAGUCUUUUUAAUUUUAAUUGUACAAUAAAAAAACUAUUAAACUUGUUGACCAAUAGCUUUUUUUACAUCUUACAAUCUUUUGAAUAGCAAAAAGAAACUUCUUUACCCUGAAGGUAAAAAAUUAUUGAGCUGUUGCCAAGGGUAUUUUAGGGUUUUCGCUUCUUAAGUUAUAGAAAAAAUAUGCAUUUACCCUUAGAAAAGACAAAAGGUCAUUUAUGCAUUGAGGGGUGUUUUAAUACUUCCACAUUUGUUUAUUUGUUAUUUCCAGGUUAAUGAGUGGCGUUUUAAUAAUUUUCCAUUGAUUUUUGUUUUAUUUUUUUAAUUUGAAAAGGUGCUAGCACGUGUGGUUAUGCGAUAUCGCGUUGGUGUCGUCCACGCUCUUUAGGUGGCGCGUGCGAAGUCUUCUACUGUCUUUAGAAGCGCCACUGUGUCCCCUUUCUCCUGGUAUAGUGUGUGAUGGUGGUUGAUUGACAUUUUAUCGUUGGUUAGCAUUUCUUUUUUUUCUUCCUUCUUGUCUCUAUCUCCUAGAGUAAGUACAUGUUUGUCCUCCUUUCUUUUUCUUCCUUUUUCAAUUCCAAUCUUUAUAUUUUAGACGACUUAAUGUUGUUUUUGGCCCUUUUAUAAAAGUUUUUUAUAAUUUCAAUUCAGUCCUUAAAUUACAAUUUAUUAUAUUUUUUUUUUCAAUUCAAUCCUUUUUUUUUUCUUAUUUUGACCCUUGGCUCUUUUGUUGGAGUUUUAUUGGUUUUCAAUUUUGUCCUUCAAUUAACAUUUAUGUUUUUUUUUUUAAUUUAGCUCUCAUUCUUUUUAUUUUUUUUUUGUUGAAGUUUUUUUUCAAUUUAACCCUCCAAUUUAAUUUUUUUAGAUGCCCUCAUUUUUUUUUAAUUUCAGUUUUUACCCUUAUUCUCUUGAUUUUUUUUAUGUAAUCGAUUUUUUUCUCGAUUACAUCCUUUGGUGUUUGAUUUGUUCGAGAUUAGGUUUUGUCAUUUUCCUAUUUUUCAUGCUUUCGAUUUAAUCAUACAGGUCACAAGUUUUAAGUGUUAAUGUGAUUAGAAAUCCUUUUUUCUCUCAUUUUCUUUUAUAAUUUUAUCAUUCUACAUUAUUUGUUUUUGAAAAAAAGGUUUUAUGGUUAUCUUUAAUUUAUAUUCAAUCAAUUUGUCUUAAUCUCAUUACUUAGACCACGGGUUUUGCAAGUCUUUAUUGAAUAAUGUUUUUUUUUAAUUAAUUUUUGGAGAUUUUUUAUUCUAUUGUUUUUAAUUUAUUUUAUACAAAUAAGUUUUGUUUUGUAAAAAAAUAGUUAUUUUGAAAUAAUAUAUCAAAUAUGUCCAGGAAUGGAUAUUUUUCUCCUUUUUAUUUUAUUAACUCAGUUUCAUAUGUUUUUUUUAUUUUUAUUAUCUUUGAUUGCUUUUAAUAAACAAGUUCAAUGGAUAUAAACAAGUAAAUUAUCUUGAUCUAUAUUCAUCUUUUAAUUUUUCUACUUUCUCUUUUAGUUAUUAUUAACGAUUUUAUUUAUUUAUUUGCAUAGAUUAUUAUUAGAUGUUCGGAUAAACUUUUUUAUUUUCACUUUAUGAUUCUUUUUAUGUAAAAAAAAACAUAUCAAAAUAGUCUUUAUACUCAAGUGUUUUUCUUUUAAAACUCAAUUAGAACUCACUACGGAGCACAUGUUAGAUCAAACUUUUAUUUCACCCUAAUUGUUUUUUUUUUCACCCUCAUUUUUGUUAGAUGCUUUUUUUUUCAUGUAAUCAUCUUUUGAACAUUUAAUUUGUUGGGGAUUCGGCUUCAUAUGAUCUUAUUGUUUUGUAGUUUUUUUAUAAAAAUAUUGAUAUGGUGAUUAUCUUCAAUUUCUUUUCUAUGAGUUUAUCCCGAUCCCAUGAUCCAGGUCACGGGUUUUGCAUGCCAUUUUUAAUAUAAGGGUUUUUUUAGAAUCGUUUUAUUUGUGUUUGAUUUUUCAAGAUAUUAUUCUAAUUCAUUUGUAAUUUUUUUUAUUUAUACAAAUAAAGUUUUUUUUUCAAAAUAUAAAAUAUUCAUUUUAAAUAACAUUGUUGGUUUGUUUGCCCUUGCAUUUUUUUUUGUGUUUUAAUAAAUUUCAAAAUAAAUUUUUUUUUGUGUUUUAAAUAGGACAUGAGUGUAUUCAGUCAUUUUCAUUUGUGUUUAUUUUUUAGGUCGUGAGUUUUUUAGGAUGUGGAUAUAUCUUUUAUUAAUUAAGUAAACAAUCAAGUGAAUGUCUUAUUUUGUGUGAUUGAAUACCUUGAUCUACAUUCAUCUCUUAAUUUUCUCACUUUCUUUUUUGGUUAUUGUCAAUGAUUUUUUCUCAUUUAUUUACACAAAUUAUUAUCAAUUUAUUUAGUUAGAUACUUGUAUUGGCUUUUCAAUUUAUACUUUAUUUUUUUAUGUUGAAAAACACAUUGAAAAUUUUAGGUAGCAUUUAAUUAUUAUCUUGUGAUAAAAUAGACAAAAAUAUGUUUAGUUGAAGAGAUAAAAAUAUAAAAAUAAAUUUUUUCCUUGAUAAUUUUGGAGUGAGUUUCUAUACUUCCAAAACAUGAGAUAUAAAAAGGCAUAUCUUCUAAGACAAUGUUUUUUGUUUUUUAUUCAUAAAAUAUUAUUGUAAAAAACUCUCAAUUCUAAAAUUAUCAAUCUAAGAUAUGUACAGAUCAAAAUGAUUAUUAUCAUAGUUUUAAAACUUAACUUGGAGGUCGAUUCGGAGCAAGACCUGGAUCACGGGUUAGGAGGGUCAUCUUGGAUUGAUUUGGAUCAACAUAAAAAUAAAAGUGAUUAUUAUUAUAAUUUUAAAAUCCGACUAGGGGCUGACCCAGGGCAAAGCCUGGGUCACGAAUCUAGAGAGUUAACUCGUGUUGACUAGGUCAAUAUAAGAAUAAAAAUAGUUAUUAUCGUAGUUUUAAAAUCCAACUUGAAAAUUGACUCGGGGCAAGUUCUAGGUCACGAGUUGGAAGGGUCAAACAAGGUUGACUCGUGUCAAUGCAUAGAUAAAAGUGAUUGUUUAAAUAAUUUUAAAACUCAAUCUGGGAGUUGAACCAAGACAAGGUCCGGGGCCAAGAGAACAACCUAGAUUGACCCAAAAUCUUCUUUUUAAAAAAAUAAUAAUAAUCAAAGUAACCUUGUUUUCAUUAUAAUUUUUUUUUAAAAAAGUAAAUAUGUUUUUGACCCAUGUUUUAUCCCAGAUCGAUCCAGGUUUUUACCAGAUCAGAUCGAGUCAAUCAUUCCUCUAUUUUUUUAAACUUGGACCGGUCAAGGUCCCUGGUCAACCUGUCAUGUCAGUUUAGAUUUUAUAACUAUGAUUAUUAUAAUUUUAUUAAUUAAUUUCAACACUUAAUAUAAAUUAAAAAAAUUAGAAUAAAAAAUAUUUUUUUAUAUUUUUUUUUUAUUUGUUUUUUUUUUUUUUUGUAUCCCGUAACAAUAACGUAAAUAACGUAGAUGUUACUUCUAUUGUAUGUAUAAUUUCUGUCAGCCACGUUAUCAGAGCUUCUCGAAGAGUUGCUUUGUUAUCAGAGUUCCUGCCAACCUUAGGCUGAUGGAAUUGCUUUGUUAUCAGAGGUUUUUUUUACAUGCACAACCUUGGCAGCCUGAAAAUGUACAUGCACCAUGCGCUGAUAGUGAAAACUAGUUUGUCAUGAAUUGGGAUAGUAACAAUAAGAGAGAGAAGCAAAAACAAAACAUACUAUGAUAAUUUUGAGUUCAAUCAAUCAUGAAUUGCAGGACAUGAUUCAGUGUAUGAACUCCAUGGACAUUGGAUCUUGAUUCAGAGAAAAGUUUGGUUCUUUCUGUUUUUACAAUGAUCAGAUUCUUCCUGGAUAUAACUACACUAAAAGGACCUAUUCGACCUGAAGCUUGUUUCCUGCUUUUGUUCUUCUGGAGAGCUCCCUAGAGGUAAGAAAUGAUGCCCCAGAGAGAUAAAACAAGAGAAAGUCCUUUUUUUGACAUGAAAUUUCUCUCGGUGGAUAACAAACAACAGCUAAAGUCCCUGUCAUUUGCAGCAGGGCAGCCAGUGUAAUAGCAUGCAUGGAACAACGCAAACCAACUGCGGGAAGAAACAUAGCUAUAAGAGGGCACUGCAGACACGAAGCACAUAAUAUUUUGCUUUCCUGAGCUCCACUGUCUACAUAACAAGCAAGAGUGAGAUGGUCUUAAGACCUUAAGACCGACCCACUUCUUAUAUUUUACAAGAAGUCUUUAUUUUGAUUACAAUCACAUUCUUUAUCCAUUCAUUUUCGCAUUCAUGAAAUCACAGAAGUAUCAUUAUUACUUUCAUGGCUUGGUACACACACAGAAGCAGUAGCUAAACUGCUGGAAUUCGAACUCGAUCCAAGCAAGAUUUCCCAUCCAGCUUGUUGCUUUGCUGAAGUUCCAGGUAGUCUUUGUAUUUCAUGCCAACGUAUGCUGCUGGCUCAUUGCCUAUACUGCUCACUAAUAACUCUGGUGCUGGGCUAACGACUGAGUCUAGUGAUGGUCCAUGUGCCAUAGCUAUGGAUAUC